CAGAACCAGGACCGAUACUAGACCAGAACCAGGACCGAUACUAGACCAGAACCGAUACUAGACCAGAACCAGGACUGAUACUAGACCAGAACAAGGACCGAUACUAGAUCAGAACUGAUACUAGAACAGAACCAGGUCUGAUACUAGACCAGAGCUGUUUCAGGGCUUAAACUAAACCAGAACCAGA
Long non-coding RNA from Melanotaenia boesemani (Boeseman's rainbowfish), 187 nucleotides. RefSeq lists it as uncharacterized. The transcript has 3 exons. The record is from RefSeq and is a predicted model, not a curated record. NCBI's taxonomy places the organism in Eukaryota, Metazoa, Chordata, Actinopteri, Atheriniformes, Melanotaeniidae.